Molecule: non-coding RNA, 63 nt
Filed under: Pteridomonas danica
Lineage: Eukaryota; Dictyochophyceae; Pedinellales
Source: RNAcentral
AGAUAUGUAGAUAUAUAUAUAUAUAUAGAUUUUUUUUUUCUUCUUCUUUUUUUCUUGAUUUGU